Non-coding RNA from Podarcis lilfordi (Lilford's wall lizard), 80 nucleotides. NCBI's taxonomy places the organism in Eukaryota, Metazoa, Chordata, Lepidosauria, Squamata, Lacertidae. The record is from the annotation of a GenBank genome assembly.
AGGGGUGGAGGGCCAUAGCUCAGUGGUAGAACAUCUGCUCUGAAAACAGAAGGUCCCAGGUUCAAUCCCCAGCAUCUCUA